GAUCGUUUCCCCUCUUGGAUUGAGCCAGGAGGAUCUAUUACUCUGUCAAAGUUCCUCUCCCUCUGUGGGGGAACCUUGUCUGCUUUCAGUGUAGGGACUGCACGGUGGGACACUUUAAAAGGUUAGCAGGCAUUGUGACCUAGUUGAACAGACCUACCCAUCUGAGGAGGGGAAACCCACAAUGCAAUAGUGUAAAGGAAGCCCCAACAUCUGCAAAACAACUUUGUAUUUAGAUUGAGGGUCCACAGGUUCCUCCAUCCCUUAACAGGAGUUGGUGUUGUCAGCUAUUUAAAGGUGACCCCAGCCACAGUUACCACAUAUGCAUCAGAGAGGGUGUUUUCACUGUUGGCCUAAUAUAUUAUUGGUCAACUGAACUAAACACAAACACCUUAACAUAAGCAAAAACAGACUACCUGCUCACCUGGAGAUGUCGCACUAAACCUUCUAUACAUUUUUGACAAGGAGUAAAUUAUAUUAAAUCAAGUCUUGGCAGUGCAAAAACAUUGCCAGACCAAAACAAAAGUUCUUUACAAUCUCUAGAAGAUGUUGGUCGGGAGGGAUAAUGGUCUGUUUUAAAAAUGCUUUCUAGCAAGUGAAGACCAAGCUGCCCAUCACACUAAAGGUUUGUAAACAUUUCAUUGAGUCACCACAUUACCACAAAUAAUUCCCAGCUUGUGCAAAAUGAAGAUGAACAUUAGGCAAAAAAGACCAUAAGCUUGUGUGGAUAUAUCAUAUAAAACAUAAUGUAUUCAUUUCAGGGGAGACUUAUUGAUUUGUGUCUCAUGUUUCUUUUCAUUCACAACUGAUCGUCGCACUGCUUCCCUCCAGUGGCCACAAGGUACAACAGGUACUUUUACAUUACAGCAUGUAGCUCCAAACCACAAAAGUAUUUCCUUCUGAAAAUGCACUUGCACUUCACUAAAGCUCUAAACAUGGCACAUGAACACAAAUAUAAACUAUAUACAAUAAAAUCUGGAAUAUAGUACAAUACGAAUGCUCUAAUAACGGUGAGCAGAGAUCUUGUAUUUUGAUGUGUGGGCAUAAUGUACAGGGUAAUAGUCACAUGACUGCCACAAGGCCUUUCUAUGACACUGAAUAGGAACAGACCACAGCUCUGAUUUAGUACAGCUGGCUGACCAACAAUUGCUGAAUAGGUUUAACAAAAAUAAUCUUUAAAAUUAGAUUAUGUUUCUCAGAAUAAAGAGAAAUUAUGAGCCUCAUGUCAAAAAAUAAAUAAAUCUGCAAGACAGACUGACUCUUUUGACUUUCUUAAUGUUACACCAGCAAAGCCUUGUACCCAGAUGCUAAAUUACUACUAAGCUACAUUUGAAACAUUCAACACUUUUCUAUAACUUAGAGGCUGCACUGUCUGCUGUUCAGCAA
Molecule: long non-coding RNA, 1383 nt
Organism: Notothenia coriiceps (black rockcod)
Lineage: Eukaryota; Metazoa; Chordata; Actinopteri; Perciformes; Nototheniidae
Exons: 4
Source: RefSeq, a predicted model, not a curated record